Molecule: ribosomal RNA, 428 nt
Filed under: uncultured bacterium
Lineage: Bacteria
Description: bacterial SSU rRNA
Rfam family: Bacterial small subunit ribosomal RNA
Source: RNAcentral
ACUCCUACGGGAGGCAGCAGUGGGGAAUAUUGCACAAUGGGGGAAACCCUGAUGCAGCCAUGCCGCGUGUGUGAAGAAGGCCUUCGGGUUGUAAAGCACUUUCAGUAGGGAGGAAGGUAGUGUAGUUAACACCUGCAUUAUUUGACGUUACCUACAGAAGAAGCACCGGCUAACUCCGUGCCAGCAGCCGCGGUAAUACGGAGGGUGCGAGCGUUAAUCGGAAUUACUGGGCGUAAAGCGCAUGCAGGCGGCUUGUUAAGUCAGAUGUGAAAGCCCGGGGCUUAACCGUCGGAAUUGCAUUUGAAACUGGCAGGCUAGAGUCUUGUAGAGGGGUUAGAAUUUCAGGUGUAGCGGUGAAAUGCGUAGAGAUCUGAAGGAAUACCAGUGGCGAAGGCGGCCCCCGUGGACAAAGACUGACGCUCAGAUGC